RNAcentral lists this ribosomal RNA (1524 nucleotides) under Triticum aestivum (bread wheat). Its description in RNAcentral is "partial small subunit ribosomal RNA". The record is from RNAcentral. Lineage: Eukaryota; Viridiplantae; Streptophyta; Magnoliopsida; Poales; Poaceae.
AUGGGCCGCAAGAGCCGCCAGCCGUCGCCGCCGCCGCCCCCGCCUCCCGAGGAGGAGUCUUCCGCCGAGGAGGAGGAGGAGGAGGCGGCGGCGGAGGCCACCCCCGCGACCCAAAAUUCCCCCAAACCCCCUUCCGCCGCCACGGCCGACGACGCCGAGGCCGACGCCGAUUCGUCGGAUGGAAGCGAUGAGGAGUCCUCCGAGUCGGGGAAGAUCGACGCCGAGGCCUUCGAGCUGCGCCAGAUCGCCUCCUCCAAGCUCGAAUCCGACGCCGGUGAGCCCACUCCGCCGGCCAAGGACAAGAAGAAGGGUAGGUCUUUGGCGGAGCCCUCUCCGUCCGGCACGGCCAAGAAGGCUAAGGCCGGGGUGGCGGAGAAGGCACUCUCCGAGCUCACUCCUUCCAGCGAGGGUAAGAAGAAGCGCAAGGCCCAGCCGGAGAAGACUGCGCCGUGGAACAAGCUUGAGAAACCUGGACAUCCCAGGCGCUGGACAACGGAGGACGAGAUCAAGAUCCUGGAGGCUCUGGUUCGCCACGUCAAGGCCAAUGGCACCCAGCCGGGCGCUCGUGAGCUCAUUGCUGCGGUUGGUGGCAGCCUGGAAAGGAAGAACGUCACCAAGACGGAAAUGUAUGAGAAGGUGCGGAAUAUCAGGCAGCGAUAUGAGAAAGCGGUGAGCACAGGCGCUCUGCCAGAGAAAGAUGAUGACCUCCGCAAGUUCAAGCUCUCGGAGCAAGUCUGGGGAGAGAAUGCAAAGCAGGUCGCUGCAGCCACCAUGGCUCAAAAUGAGGCUGCUUCCUUGAAGGGCAAGAAGAAGGAGCAGACUAGCAAGGAGAAAACAGAGGGACAUUCAAAGGGUGGUACAGCAAAGGAGGUCACCGCUAGCGCCGAUGAAACAGAGGGCUAUUCAAAGGGUGGUACAGCAAAGCAGGCCACCGAUGAGAAGGUUGAAGAAGAUAGCAAGGGCAGGUCAUCAAAGAAGGCUAGCACUGCUGAUACUCCUGCUAAGAGUAGAAAGCGGGGAAACCACAAAGAGGAAUUGGAAGGCGAUGCAAAAACUGGCACUACAAAGGAGACCGUGGAUACUACCACUCAAAAUGGUGGCACUUUGGUGAGGAGCAAGAGUGGAAAGUCUGACAAAGAGAAAGCAGAUGGAGAUGCAGAGAGCCCCAUGCCAAAGGAGGCUAUGGCUGACGCUAAAAAUGGUGGCACCCUUGCUCUGUUUAAGAAGGAAGGGAAAACUCAUGAAGAGAAAAUGGACACUGAUGCUAAUGCGAGAGGCACGCGCAAAGGGUUUGAGGAAUUGCAGAAAUUCUACCCCAACCUUACCUCUUAUGUGGAGGACAUCCAGGCCCAACAUCCAUGUGGGGAGACACUGAAGAGAGCAUUUGAGUUCAUUCCUGAUGAGAAGGCAUGUGCAUUGGAAUCCAAGAUCAAGAGGCAAAGAGUAGCUGAGUUGAGGAUGGAGAUGCGCCGAUCUGACACAAAGAAGGAAGUGACCAACAUAUUCAUAGGAUUGCUGGACUAA